GCGCGAAACCUCCACAAUGCACGAAAGUGUGAUGGGGGAAUCCUCCGUGCUCAUGUCUAACAUGGGCUUUUGCCAAGACUAGAUAUCUUGGCGAAUAAGGGGUGGGCAAGACCGGUGCCAGCCGCCGCGGUAACACCGGCGCCCCGAGUGGCCAUCGCGAUUAUUGGGCCUAAAGCGUCCGUAGCCGGACAGGUAAAUCCUCUGUGAAAUCGUCACGCUUCACGUGACGGCGCGCAGGGGACACUGCCUGUCUCGAGACCGGGAGGGGUCAGAGGUAUGCCGUGGGGACUGGUAAAAUGGGAUAAUCCACGGUAGACCACCAAUGGCGAAGGCAUCUGACCAGAACGGAUCUGACGGUGAGGGACGAAAGCCAGGGGAGCGAACCGG
This 387-nucleotide ribosomal RNA is filed under the name uncultured euryarchaeote. Its description in RNAcentral is "bacterial SSU rRNA". It matches the Rfam family "Archaeal small subunit ribosomal RNA", at positions 339 to 727 of the family's 1478-position model. The record is from RNAcentral. Lineage: Archaea; Methanobacteriati; Methanobacteriota.